AAUAAGGCAUGCCUCCACAAGACUUCGAUACCCGGCGAGUGCGGAGGUGACGGAGAGGCCAACUCAACCGAACCACGAGCACGGGCCGAAUAUCGGACUGAAGCUCAAAAGCUACAGAGCUUUUGGGAACAGAAGCUUCAGACUACAGAGCUGUUGAGAACAGAGGUUGAUGAGAUAGAAGUGCUUGCCAAUCCCACCCACGUCUAAGGGGAAAAUCAGCUUGAC
RNAcentral lists this long non-coding RNA (225 nucleotides) under Actinidia chinensis (golden kiwifruit). RNAcentral describes it as "long non-coding RNA (ACHI_LNC006214)". The record is from RNAcentral. Lineage: Eukaryota; Viridiplantae; Streptophyta; Magnoliopsida; Ericales; Actinidiaceae.